RNAcentral lists this ribosomal RNA (468 nucleotides) under uncultured bacterium. RNAcentral's name for it is "partial 16S ribosomal RNA". It matches the Rfam family "Bacterial small subunit ribosomal RNA", at positions 28 to 507 of the family's 1533-position model. The record is from RNAcentral.
GACGAACGCUGGCGGCGUGCUUAACACAUGCAAGUCGAACGGAAAGGCCCUGCUUUUGUGGGGUGCUCGAGUGGCGAACGGGUGAGUAACACGUGAGUAACCUGCCCUUGACUUUGGGAUAACUUCAGGAAACUGGGGCUAAUACCGGAUAGGAGCUCCUGCUGCAUGGUGGGGGUUGGAAAGUUUCGGCGGUUGGGGAUGGACUCGCGGCUUAUCAGCUUGUUGGUGGGGUAGUGGCUUACCAAGGCUUUGACGGGUAGCCGGCCUGAGAGGGUGACCGGCCACCUCAGUACUGAGGUGCUGCCGAGCCGACUCCUGGGGGCAGCAGUAGUGAAUAAUAUACCAUGAGCGGAAGACGCAUGCAGCAGCGCCGCGUGCGGGAUGACGGCCUUCGGGUUGUAAACCGCUUUCGCCUGUGACGAAGCGUGAGUGACGGUAAUGGGUAAAGAAGCACCGGCUAACUACGUG